This 217-nucleotide ribosomal RNA is filed under the name uncultured Loktanella sp. RNAcentral describes it as "partial 16S ribosomal RNA". It matches the Rfam family "Bacterial small subunit ribosomal RNA", at positions 29 to 273 of the family's 1533-position model. The record is from RNAcentral. Lineage: Bacteria; Pseudomonadati; Pseudomonadota; Alphaproteobacteria; Rhodobacterales; Roseobacteraceae.
AACGAACGCUGGCGGCACGCCUAACACAUGCAAGUCGAGCGAGACCUUCGGGUUUAGCGGCGGACGGGUUAGUAACGCGUGGGAACGUACCUUUUGCUUCGGAAUAGCCUCGGGAAACUGGGAGUAAUACCGGAUGUGCCCUUAGGGGGAAAGAUUUAUCGGCAAAAGAUCGGCCCGCGUCUGAUUAGAUAGUUGGUGGGGUAAUGGCCUACCAAGU